UACGUAGGGUCCGAGCGUUGUCCGGAAUUAUUGGGCGUAAAGAGCUCGUAGGCGGUUUGUCGCGUCUGCUGUGAAAUCCCGAGGCUCAACCUCGGGCCUGCAGUGGGUACGGGCAGACUGGAGUGCGGUAGGGGAGAAUGGAAUUCCUGGUGUAGCGGUGGAAUGCGCAGAUAUCAGGAAGAACACCCGUGGCGAAGGCGGUUCUCUGGGACGGUACUGACGCUGAGACGCGAAAGCGUGGGGAGCGAACAGG
This 253-nucleotide ribosomal RNA is filed under the name uncultured bacterium. RNAcentral's name for it is "partial 16S ribosomal RNA". It matches the Rfam family "Bacterial small subunit ribosomal RNA", at positions 524 to 776 of the family's 1533-position model. The record is from RNAcentral.